RNAcentral lists this ribosomal RNA (387 nucleotides) under Triticum aestivum (bread wheat). RNAcentral describes it as "partial small subunit ribosomal RNA". The record is from RNAcentral. Lineage: Eukaryota; Viridiplantae; Streptophyta; Magnoliopsida; Poales; Poaceae.
AUGGCGUCAACCGCACCACGGCCGCCCCGCCGAGCCGCGACCUUGACACUCCUCCUGCCCUUCCUCCUCCUUUCCUCCUCCCCGUCCCUCUCCUUCGCCGCUUCGCCGCCGCCGUCGAGCCCCGCCCCGCUCCACGCGCCGCCGCGGCGGGUCGCGUCCGACUCCGACAGCGCCCCCCCGCCGCCGCACCACCCGCACCCGCACCACCACCACCACCGCCCGCCCCCGUCCCCUCCGCGGCUUAACUUCGGCGAGAGGCUCGGGAUCGCCAUCGCCGGCGUCGCCGUGGCAAUGCAGGUCGUCCUCGGCGCGUUCCUGGCGCUGCGCGCCUGGCAGCUGCGGCGGCUCGACAGGGCCGAGGUGUCCUCCUCCACGCCCCUCACCUGA